RNAcentral lists this ribosomal RNA (827 nucleotides) under uncultured bacterium. Its description in RNAcentral is "bacterial SSU rRNA". It matches the Rfam family "Bacterial small subunit ribosomal RNA", at positions 55 to 893 of the family's 1533-position model. The record is from RNAcentral.
AUGCAAGUCGAACGGACUUACAUUGAAGCCUAGCGAUAUGUAAGUUAGUGGCGGACGGGUGAGUAACGCGUGGGUAACCUGCCUUGUACUGGGGGACAACAGUUGGAAACGACUGCUAAUACCGCAUAAGCGCACAGCUUCGCAUGAAGCAGUGUGAAAAACUCCGGUGGUACAAGAUGGACCCGCGUCUGAUUAGCUGGUUGGUGAGGUAACGGCCCACCAAGGCGACGAUCAGUAGCCGGCCUGAGAGGGUGAACGGCCACAUUGGGACUGAGACACGGCCCAAACCCCUACGGGAGGCAGCAGUGGGGAAUAUUGCACAAUGGGGGAAACCCUGAUGCAGCAACGCCGCGUGAGUGAAGAAGUAUUUCGGUAUGUAAAGCUCUAUCAGCAGGAAAGAAAAUGACGGUACCUGACUAAGAAGCCCCGGCUAACUACGUGCCAGCAGCCGCGGUAAUACGUAGGGGGCAAGCGUUAUCCGGAUUUACUGGGUGUAAAGGGAGCGUAGACGGUUUUGCAAGUCUGAAGUGAAAGCCCGGGGCUUAACCCCGGGACUGCUUUGGAAACUGUAGAACUAGAGUGCAGGAGAGGUAAGUGGAAUUCCUAGUGUAGCGGUGAAAUGCGUAGAUAUUAGGAGGAACACCAGUGGCGAAGGCGGCUUACUGGACUGUAACUGACGUUGAGGCUCGAAAGCGUGGGGAGCAAACAGGAUUAGAUACCCUGGUAGUCCACGCCGUAAACGAUGAUUACUAGGUGUUGGUGGGUACGACCCAUCGGUGCCGCAGCAAACGCAGUAAGUAAUCCACCUGGGGAGUACGUUCGCAAGA